Molecule: transfer RNA, 84 nt
Filed under: Microbacteriaceae bacterium VKM Ac-2854
Lineage: Bacteria; Bacillati; Actinomycetota; Actinomycetes; Micrococcales; Microbacteriaceae
Description: tRNA-Leu
Rfam family: tRNA
About the family: Transfer RNA (tRNA) molecules are approximately 80 nucleotides in length.
Source: RNAcentral
GCGGGAGUGGUGAAAUGGUAGACACGCAGGAUUUAGGUUCCUGUGCAGCGAUGCGUGUGGGUUCGAGUCCCACCUUCCGCACCA